ACAUCUUCCUUGAACACCAGGAUGAGGUUAUUCAAACCUUCUCCAGGUACUGUAAAAAGAUCCACAAUGAGAAGGGAACUAAAAUAUUCAACAUUAAGAGUGAUCGCAGUAAAUAAUUUAAAAAUCAUGACUUUUAUUGCAUUUUGUAAUAAAUUUGAAAUUGAUCGCAACGUCUCAAUACUUAAAACUAAAAGUAAAUGGAGAAAAAAUGGAGGAAAUUUUUUAAAUCUGCUAAAAUAGAAAGUCAAAAGCUCUAUGCAGAUUUUAGAAAUUUCACAUCCAUUAAGUGAAAAAUUUGACACAUUUUACUUCAAUAUUUAAUAAAAGAAAAAAAAGAAAAGUUCUUUUGUGUCAGAUUUGUAAAUCUUCCUCAAAUGACAUGAACAGAGCUGUCGUUUGAAAAACUUAGAACAAGCCUUUCAGAGAGUUUCAAGCAUACCAAUAUAUGAAAGAAUUUUCAAAAAGAAAAAGAACCUGAAGGUGGAACUUCUACCUAGACGCUUCCAAAUAAUCAUUUUUAAAAAAUAUAUAUAUAUAUAUAUAUCAUUUCAAAGAUACCAAGAGGGUACCCCCAAUUCUACAACAGUUACAGUACAAUCAAAUGAUCAUCGAAAACCAUUUUCAAAUUCUCGAGAUCCUGAAUGUCAUGUCCCAAAAAUAAAGAACAAAAAAAAUGAGACAUGCUGUUAAAAUCAUUUUUUAUCCCUUCAAAAGCUCUUGAAUUUCUCUCUUUCCACACAACCAACGUUAGAUAUAAUGGAAUCAACAUUAAAUAUUUUUUCUUCUCAUCCUUAACCGACCCCGUUAUAAACCAUUUAAUUCCCAACAUUCUAUAAAUAGAAGUGCACAGAUCAUAAACAGGCGGACACCGCAAUAAUAGACGGUUCCAAAUAAUCGUCUUAGUCCUCUUUGAUAGCUCUAGAGCCACCUAUGGCGGAAACUAUGAACAAGGCCAGUACGUCUAUGAAAACUCCUAGAAGAAGAGUGAGAAACUUGUUUCUGAGUCACAUCAAACAGGCUGCAUUUAAGGCACCACUUCCUAACAUAACCACAUUGCCUCCAACACCACCAGUAAAACUCGUUAUUGGGUCCAAAUCAAAUAGUGAUGAAGAAGAAGUAUCGUUGGUUUAGAAACCUAAGAAAAAGAUUCUUACCCUAAAGAAGUAGAAGAAAAUGGAGCCUCAACCAGAGAGUUCAGAAGAAUCUGAGAAUGAAUCCUCCCUACGAAGAAAGAAGAGAAAGAAGAAAAGAUGUCUCAUAAGAGAAAGGAGGAACUUCUAAAGGAGCAAACUCUGAGAAGAAAGAACCACUUAUUUAAACCACCAUUAAUGGUCAAGAAACAUUAUCAGACGAGUUUGUUUCUGAUUGAGUGAAAGAGAUGUUCAAGAACUUCAACAAUGCGCUUAUCCAACCAAACAAAUAGGUAAACUGGUCCUAUUUUUCAUCCCGAUUUUCAAUCAAAGGAUCUAGUUAAUAUCCCCUUGCUUGAUCAGAAAACGGCCAUGAAAUAACGUAAAUCGCUUUCACUGUUAACCCAAAACAAAAAUAAAAAACCAAAACAAAUAAGAGAGACAACCAUGAUUUGGGAUCUAGAAUGUUGAGGACGCAUCGGAAUCGUCAGAAGGCGGCAAAUCUGGAGAAGGCGAGUUCAUGGAGAAUGAUAAAGCUGGGCCAGAGUGUGAUAGCCGAAAGAGAUGAAGAGAGAGAGAGAGUACAAGGGUUUAGGUAGGAGAAAAGUUGAGAGUUUGUUGUUUCUGCGAC
RNAcentral lists this long non-coding RNA (1761 nucleotides) under Carica papaya (papaya). Its description in RNAcentral is "long non-coding RNA (CPAP_LNC005763)". Lineage: Eukaryota; Viridiplantae; Streptophyta; Magnoliopsida; Brassicales; Caricaceae. The record is from RNAcentral.